This 492-nucleotide ribosomal RNA is filed under the name uncultured bacterium. RNAcentral describes it as "partial 16S ribosomal RNA". It matches the Rfam family "Bacterial small subunit ribosomal RNA", at positions 38 to 507 of the family's 1533-position model. The record is from RNAcentral.
AGGGAAAGAGGGAGGGAGGCCUAACACAUGCAAGUCGAACGGCAGCACAGUAAGAGCUUGCUCUUACGGGUGGCGAGUGGCGGACGGGUGAGGAAUACAUCGGAAUCUACUUUUUCGUGGGGGAUAACGUAGGGAAACUUACGCUAAUACCGCAUACGACCUACGGGUGAAAGCAGGGGAUCUUCGGACCUUGCGCGAUUGAAUGAGCCGAUGUCGGAUUAGCUAGUUGGCGGGGUAAAGGCCCACCAAGGCGACGAUCCGUAGCUGGUCUGAGAGGAUGAUCAGCCACACUGGAACUGAGACACGGUCCAGACUCCUACGGGAGGCAGCAGUGGGGAAUAUUGGACAAUGGGCGCAAGCCUGAUCCAGCCAUACCGCGUGGGUGAAGAAGGCCUUCGGGUUGUAAAGCCCUUUUGUUGGGAAAGAAAAGCAGCAGGUUAAUACCCCGCUGUUCUGACGGUACCCAAAGAAUAAGCACCGGCUAACUUCGUG